UGGGGAAUCUUGGACAAUGGGCGCAAGCCUGAUCCAGCCAUGCCGCGUGAGUGAUGAAGGCCUUAGGGUUGUAAAGCUCUUUUUGCCGGGGACGAUAAUGACGGUACCCGGAGAAUAAGUCCCGGCUAACUUCGUGCCAGCAGCCGCGGUAAUACGAAGGGGACUAGCGUUGUUCGGAAUCACUGGGCGUAAAGCGCACGUAGGCGGAUUUGUAAGUCAGGGGUGAAAUCCCGGGGCUCAACCUCGGAACUGCCUUUGAUACUGCGGAUCUCGAGUCCGAUAGAGGUGAGUGGAAUUCCUAGUGUAGAGGUGAAAUUCGUAGAUAUUGGGAAGAACACCAGUGGCGAAGGCGGCUAACUGGUCCGGUACUGACGCUGAGGUGCGAAAGCGUGGGGAGCAAACAGGAUUAGAUACCCCCGUAGUCCCUGAGCGGGCUGGCAAGGCGCAU
RNAcentral lists this ribosomal RNA (448 nucleotides) under uncultured bacterium. RNAcentral's name for it is "bacterial SSU rRNA". It matches the Rfam family "Bacterial small subunit ribosomal RNA", at positions 355 to 825 of the family's 1533-position model. The record is from RNAcentral.